Molecule: transfer RNA, 65 nt
Filed under: Pararetifusus carinatus
Lineage: Eukaryota; Metazoa; Mollusca; Gastropoda; Neogastropoda; Fasciolariidae
Description: tRNA-Phe
Source: RNAcentral
CAUCGAUAGCUUAAAUUAGAGCAUAACACUGAAGAUGUUAAGGUAACAAUAUUGUUUCUAAGCAC